CACCUCUCCUCAUCACCCUCUCACACAACGUCACCCCCCCUCACACGGCCACCACUCCCCGUACACACGGGCACCACUCUCCGCACUCUGGCACCUCCCUCCAUACACACUGUCAACCCUCAACACUGGCACCCUCCUGUUCUUUUACACUCACACUGCCACAGUUACCCCUUUACUCACCCUGUCACCCCCUGAAGGCAAUCAUUAUACACACCAUCAUAAAACAUAGCUUCGCCAUAAACUCGGUGCCAAAGGCCACAGUCAGUACACAAACAUACACAUGCUCAGAGAAGCAUACAUACAGAUACAAGGAUACUCACUGUCAGACACACACCCAGGUAGACAAUGCGACGAUGUAAACAGAGACUAGCUCUAUAUGUAUCCAGUGCUGCAAGCUCCCCCAUCAAUAUAUCUACAGCUUCUUAUACACAAAGUCAACUGCUAUUUUUUCUUCAAUAAUGGUGUUCUUCGUGGGGGCCUCAUGUAUGAG
This is a non-coding RNA of Pelobates cultripes (western spadefoot toad), 490 nucleotides long. The record is from the annotation of a GenBank genome assembly. NCBI's taxonomy places the organism in Eukaryota, Metazoa, Chordata, Amphibia, Anura, Pelobatidae.